CACGUUCACUCAUAUAUGCUACUUCUAUUCCGGAAGUACCAUCCACAUAUAUCCACCCAUUCCAUCUCCAGAAUCACCCAAAAAUAUUCUACUCCUAAUCCGGGAGAGAAUAACCAAAAAUAUUUCUGUUUUCCCCUUGUGAAAUAAAUGCUCAAGUUAUCUUGUUACUACCACUUGCUAUAUUAUCUCAAGAGAUGAAUGCUAUGAAAAAAAAGGGAAAUACGAGGAAAUAAAAAGGAGCAAGUGCU
This 248-nucleotide long non-coding RNA is filed under the name Sorghum bicolor (sorghum). RNAcentral's name for it is "long non-coding RNA (SBIC_LNC006616)". The record is from RNAcentral. Lineage: Eukaryota; Viridiplantae; Streptophyta; Magnoliopsida; Poales; Poaceae.